CCCCUGUUAACAAAGAAUCCAUUGUGUUUUAUUGCUGAAUUAUCCACUUCAAAAUAUUCAUCCAGCUCAGCAUCAUCAAUAAAGGAGUCAUCUGUGUCAUAUUGAUCAUCAUCAGGAACAUCCUUUAGAUCUUCCUCAUCACUACUAUCCUUACCCAUAUAAAGGCGUUCAAUCUUCUCAAUCACAGCACUGAAACGAUUUGGAGCAGGUGCAUCCUUCUCUUCAUUUUCAGCUGGUUGUCCAGGAGCAAGGCG
Molecule: unclassified non-coding RNA, 254 nt
Filed under: Hevea brasiliensis (rubber tree)
Lineage: Eukaryota; Viridiplantae; Streptophyta; Magnoliopsida; Malpighiales; Euphorbiaceae
Source: RNAcentral